GAUGAACGCUGGCGGCGCGCCUAACACAUGCAAGUCGAACGGCACCUAUCUUCGGAUAGAAGCGAGUGGCGAACGGCUGAGUAACACGUGGAGAACCUGCCCCCUCCCCCGGGAUAGCCGCCCGAAAGGACGGGUAAUACCGGAUACCCCGGGGUGCCGCAUGGCACCCCGGCUAAAGCCCCGACGGGAGGGGAUGGCUCCGCGGCCCAUCAGGUAGACGGCGGGGUGACGGCCCACCGUGCCGACAACGGGUAGCCGGGUUGAGAGACCGACCGGCCAGAUUGGGACUGAGACACGGCCCAGACUCCUACGGGAGGCAGCAGUGGGGAAUCUUGCGCAAUGGGGGGAACCCUGACGCAGCGACGACGCGUGCGGGACGGAGGCCUUCGGGUCGUAAACCGCUUUCAGCAGGGAAGAGUCAAGACUGUACCUGCAGAAGAAGCCCCGGCUAACUACGUG
Molecule: ribosomal RNA, 459 nt
Filed under: uncultured bacterium
Lineage: Bacteria
Description: partial 16S ribosomal RNA
Rfam family: Bacterial small subunit ribosomal RNA
Source: RNAcentral